Molecule: long non-coding RNA, 346 nt
Filed under: Sus scrofa (pig)
Lineage: Eukaryota; Metazoa; Chordata; Mammalia; Artiodactyla; Suidae
Description: lncRNA (ENSSSCG00070008084.1)
Source: RNAcentral
CUGUGGGUCCGAGAUGCAUGUUGCAUGUGCCCUGGGAACUGCAGCCAAGUCUUGACUUUGGUCCCUUGUCUGUGUUUUUCCUGCAGGAGCCUGAACUGAGUCCACACACUGAACUCACAGACCUGCAGGAGGAGAUGGAAGAAAGAAAACCAGCAGGUUUUGAGGAUGAGAAGAACCCAAGUAAUAGCAGAGGAGGUGCUGUGCAGGAGAGAUUGCUGCAGUGGCAUCCAGGACUGUCAGUGGAAGUGGGGAAUGACAUGACACCACCUUUCGGACACCCAACUGGCAAGAGGUGCAUCUGCCUCGGAGACACAGCGCCUAUCUCCAGAUGAUAAUUUGUUCAGCA